UACGUAGGGUGCAAGCGUUGUCCGGAAUUAUUGGGCGUAAAGAGCUCGUAGGCGGUCUGUCGCGUCUGCUGUGAAAACUCGGGGCUUAACCCCGGGCCUGCAGUGGGUACGGGCAGACUAGAGUGCGGUAGGGGAGACUGGAAUUCCUGGUGUAGCGGUGGAAUGCGCAGAUAUCAGGAGGAACACCAAUGGCGAAGGCAGCUCGCUGGGACGUGACUGACGCUGAGGCGCGAAAGCGUGGGGAGCAAACAGG
RNAcentral lists this ribosomal RNA (253 nucleotides) under uncultured bacterium. RNAcentral describes it as "partial 16S ribosomal RNA". It matches the Rfam family "Bacterial small subunit ribosomal RNA", at positions 524 to 776 of the family's 1533-position model. The record is from RNAcentral.